AGUGAACGCUGGCGGCGUGCCUAAUACAUGCAAGUCGAACGGAGUGGCGCACGGGUGAGUAAUAUAUAGCUAAUCUGCCCCUUGCUGGAGGACACCAGUUAGAAAUGACUGCUAAUACUCCAUAGCAAGGGAUGAGACUAUAUCGUAUCAGCUCGUCGGUGGGGUAACGGCCUACCUAGGCGAUGACGCGUAACUGGUCUGAGAGGAUGAUCAGUUACAUUGGAACUGACACACGGUCCAAACUCCUACGGGAUGGAUCAGGUGGGUAUAUUGCGCAAUGGGGGAAACCCUGACGGAGCAACGCCUCGUGGAGGCUGUCACUUGUCGGAGCGUAAACUCCUUUUGUUAGGGAAGCGGUACCUAACGAAUAAGCACCGGCUAACUCCGUGCCAGCAGCCGCGGUAAUAC
RNAcentral lists this ribosomal RNA (408 nucleotides) under uncultured bacterium. Its description in RNAcentral is "partial 16S ribosomal RNA". It matches the Rfam family "Bacterial small subunit ribosomal RNA", at positions 29 to 526 of the family's 1533-position model. The record is from RNAcentral.